CCCGAAAGGGCGAUCCAGGCAAAAAUUAGAGACAUAAAAUAGAAAGAAAUUUCCCGAUAAGUUGAGUACUCCAUCUUGGGGCAACUUAUGCAAAAUUUAGGGAUCAUGGCAAGUAACUCCAUUCUGCUGAUCUUCAAUAUUUUGAAGACUUGUUUGAGCACAAGGGUUGACAUCAGUUCAUCAUCCCAGCAGCGGCCAAGAGUAUAAUGGAUAUCAAGAGUUGAUAGAAGGAUUAAGGAUCAUUUGUAUUCAAUGUAGCCUUUUCCAUGUAA
RNAcentral lists this long non-coding RNA (272 nucleotides) under Lathyrus oleraceus (garden pea). RNAcentral describes it as "Pisum sativum (pea) long non-coding RNA (PSAT_LNC014846)". Lineage: Eukaryota; Viridiplantae; Streptophyta; Magnoliopsida; Fabales; Fabaceae. The record is from RNAcentral.